This 1465-nucleotide ribosomal RNA is filed under the name metagenome. Its description in RNAcentral is "bacterial LSU rRNA". It matches the Rfam family "Bacterial large subunit ribosomal RNA", at positions 1452 to 2925 of the family's 2925-position model. The record is from RNAcentral.
UUAGCGUUAUGAGUGCAGUGUGACGUGGAAAGCUAAGUCAGCACGCGAUCGGAUGUGCGUGUCUAAGCUUGUAGUCCGCAAGGAUGAGAGGCGAAUGGGAGUCAAAGCUACGGCAAUGACGAACUGACCCAGGCUAUGCCACCAAGAAAAACCACUGUAACCAGCUAAGUGGGUGACCGUACCUAAUCCGACACAGGUAGACAAGCAGAAUAUGCUAAGGCGCUCGAAAUAACUCUCGUUAAGGAACUCGGCAAAUUGGCCCCGUAACUUCGGAAUAAGGGGUGCCGUCAUAGUGUGAAGUUCUCGCGAAUGGAGCAUGAAACGGCAACAUUAAAGAGCCACCUACGACUGUUUAGCAAAAACACAUCUCUCUGCAAACUCGUAAGAGGACGUAUAGGGAGUGACACCUGCCCGGUGCUGGAAGGUCAAUGACUUCGGUGAUCUCGCAAGAGUGAGCUGCGGUCCUAAGCCCCAGUAAACGGCGGCCGUAACUAUAACGGUCCUAAGGUAGCGAAAUUCCUUGUCAGGUAAGUUCUGACCCGCACGAAUGGUGUAACGAUAGGUGGACUGUCUCAACGAGAGGUUCGGUGAAAUUGCAGUGGCGGUGAAGAUACCGUUUUCCCGCAGCGGGACGAAAAGACCCCGGAACCUUUACUGUAGGCUGGUAUUGUGUUUUGACCCAAUAUGUGUAGGAUAGGUGGGAGACUUUGAAGUGGGGGCGUUAGCUCUCAUGGAGUCAUCCGUGAAAUACCACCCUUGUUGUGUUAGAACUCUAACCUGACUGCCUGAAUCGACAGCAGGGACCGUGCCAGUUGGGCAGUUUGACUGGGGCGGUUUCCUCCUAAAGAGUAACGGAGGAGUUCAAAGGUUACCUCAGCGCGGUCGGCAAUCGCGCGACGAGUGUAAAGGCAUAAGGUAGCUUAACUGUGAGACUUACUAGUCGAACAGAUACGAAAGUAGGACUUAGUGAUCCGGCGAUACCGUGUGGAAGGGUCGUCGCUCAACGGAUAAAAGGUACUCUGGGGAUAACAGGCUUAUCUCGCCCAAGAGUUCAUAUCGACGGCGAGGUUUGGCACCUCGAUGUCGGCUCAUCGCAUCCUGGGGCUGGAGAAGGUCCCAAGGGUCCGGCUGUUCGCCGGUUAAAGCGGUACGUGAGCUGGGUUCAGAACGUCGCAAGACAGUUCGGUCUCUAUCUGCUGUGGGCGCAGGAAAUUUGACGGGAUCAAUCCCUAGUACGAGAGGACCGGGAUUGUCGAACCUCUGGUGUUCCAGUUGUUCUGCCAAGAGCAUUAGCUGGGUAGCUAAGUUCGGAAAGGAUAAGCGCUGAAAGCAUCUAAGCGCCAAGCCCCCCUGAAGACUAGAUUUCCCAAUUAGACUCCUUAUAGACUAUGAGGUUGAUAGGUUCCAUGUGCAAGACCUGUAAAGGUUUUAGCUUAGGAAUACUAAUAAGUCGAUUGGCUUGACC